UUAGUGGCAGACGGGUGAGUAAUGCAUAGGAAUCUACCUAGUAGUACGGGAUAGCCACUAGAAAUGGUGGGUAAUACUGUAUAAUCCCUGCGGGGGAAAGAUUUAUCGCUAUUAGAUGAGCCUAUGUUAGAUUAGCUAGUUGGUAGGGUAAAGGCCUACCAAGGCAGUGAUCUAUAGCUGGUCUGAGAGGAUGAUCAGCCACACUGGAACUGAGAUACGGUCCAGACUCCUACGGGAGGCAGCAGUGGGGAAUAUUGGACAAUGGGCGCAAGCCUGAUCCAGCUAUGCCGCGUGAGUGAGGAAGGCCUUAGGGUUGUAAAACUCUUUCAGUGGGGAGGAUAAUGACGGUACCCACAGAAGAAGUCCCGGCAAACUCCGUGCCAGCAGCCGCGGUAAUACGGAGGGGGCAAGCGUUGUUCGGAAUUAUUGGGCGUAAAGGGCAUGUAGGCGGUUCGGUAAGUUAAAGGUGAAAUGCCAGGGCUUAACCCUGGAGCUGCU
Molecule: ribosomal RNA, 498 nt
Filed under: uncultured Anaplasma sp.
Lineage: Bacteria; Pseudomonadati; Pseudomonadota; Alphaproteobacteria; Rickettsiales; Anaplasmataceae
Description: bacterial SSU rRNA
Rfam family: Bacterial small subunit ribosomal RNA
Source: RNAcentral